RNAcentral lists this long non-coding RNA (21283 nucleotides) under Malus domestica (apple). RNAcentral's name for it is "long non-coding RNA (MDOM_LNC010772)". The stretch from base 14178 to 14282 matches the Rfam family "Plant small nucleolar RNA R71". Lineage: Eukaryota; Viridiplantae; Streptophyta; Magnoliopsida; Rosales; Rosaceae. The record is from RNAcentral.
ACUUAGCAACCACAAGAUCAACUCUUUCAAGGCCAUGAGGAGAGAAGAGGUUUCUCUUCUGAUUCAAUCUGUUCAAGAGGACGCCAAUGAUCGACGGGUUCCUAUCAAUCUCAGUGACAAGAUCGCAUCGCUCAGCGUUGACCUGACCUGUCGGCUGGUGUUUGGGAAGAAGUACAAGGACGAGGACUUUGACGAGAGGGGUUUCACGGCGGUGUUGAAAGAGUCUAUCCAAAUAGUAGCAGCACCUAACUUGAAUGAUCACAUUCCUUUUCUUAGGCCGUUUGACCUGCAAGGGCUCACCAAAAAAAUGAAGUCUAUCAACAAGAAGUUUAAUACUUUUUUUGAGAAGAUAAUCGACGACCAUCUUCAAUCCAAGGAUGAAGAAAGAACAAAGGACUUCGUUGAUGUCGUGCUGGGCCGCAUGGGGUCUGAAGAAUCAGACUACCGAAUCGAACGCGUGCAUGUCAAAGCCGUUAUGCUGGUAAGUAUACAUAUCAUUUUGCAUAUUUUUCUUUUCAUUCUUGCUUGACAUCAAAUUAAAAAGAACUUGUUUCUUGUUAUACGAUUUAACAUGAUGUGGUCUAAGAUUGUGAUUAUGAACUAUUAGGUUGACUUUCUUUGAAUAUAUUAAAUUGACUGUUGAUGGUUUAAAUUUGUAAUUCAUCAUGUACAUGAAAUUGUCAUCUAUGUACAUGUGUCGCACUACUAUAUAUAUACUUCAUCUUCAUCUAACAAUGAAAAAUUUAUUGGCAGGACAUGUUCGCGGCCGCAUUGGACACACCACCAUCAGCAAUCCUGUGGGCGCUCUCAGAACUCCUUAGGCACCCACAAGUUAUGAAGAAACUCCAAAAGGAGCUAGAAAAUGUUGUAGGUCUCAAUAGAAUGGUGGAGGAAUCAGACUUGGAGAAAUUGGAGUACUUGGACAUUGUAGUGAAGGAAACCUUGAGACUACAUCCUGUGUUACCAUUGUUGCUCCCUCAUUUAUCCAUUGAAGAUUGCACUGUCGAUGGGUACCACAUACCGAAAAAUUCGCGCCUUAUCGUAAACGCAUGGGCAAUUGGGAGAGACCCAAGUGCUUGGGAAGAUGCAGAGAAGUUUGUACCAGAAAGGUUUGAGGGCAGCAAUAUUGAUGUUAAAGGAAAACACUUUCAGCUUAUACCGUUUGGCUCUGGCAGAAGACGUUGCGCUGGAAUGCAGUUAGGGCUUACUGUGGUACAGUUUGUGUUGGCACAGAUUGUGCAUUGUUUUGAUUGGGAACUUCCAGACAACAUGUUGCCAAAUGAGUUGGAUAUGACUGAGGUGUUUGGUCUUGCAGUUUCUAGGACCAAGGAUUUGCUCCUUAUUCCUUCAUAUCGCCUUCAGAAUUGAUCAUGUUUUAUGUGUCUGUAGUGCCUAUAUAUUUUCCUACUUGUCAUAAGUAUAUGUCGUGGACUAGCUAUCUUUUCUGUGUUUCCCUCCUUUUUUUUUUAAAAUAGGGACAACUAGUGGCAAACCACAGUUAUCUACGCUUUUCGGAGGCAUCUUUUCUGUGUUUCUACUGUCUUACAUUUGUGUUCUUCACUUGAUGAGGAGAACAAGCAAUGUAAUUAAUUAAAUAAAGUGGUGUCUGAUAAGGAUUUUACUACACAUGUGAAAGGGCUAAAAAACUCCUAUAAUACUUGCAAGAAUGAUAAGGUUAUUGUAAUAUAAACGGAUCUUGCAAUGUCGUUCUCCACAUGAAUUAUUAAAUAAUUCGAAACAAACCAAAUUCUAAUUAAUUAUUGUAGAGUAGAAAUUGAGAUGAUUGAUCUUAUAACUUAUUUAAAUUAAACACGAAUUUAAUUAAUAAAAGUAAACUAAUCUGCAAUAUUAAAACUAGAAGGAAAAGAAAACAGUUUAUGGAGAAAUCAAAUUAAGAAAACACUAGGUUCCACCAUCACCUAGCAAUCCUAUGAACUUUUACCAAUUACUUAUGAUCUACACAUGUGAUGAGUAGAUUUUAUAUUAUAUAUUUUACCCUAAUCUUACUAUAUUUUGGAAAAAAUUUUAUACUUUGAAUUGUAUUUUCAAUAUAGGACUUUCGAAUUCCUCUGGAGCAAAACAGGACCAAAUGAACGAAUUUUGGAGUAAUUCCAGUUGGAGGACGUUCGUGAGUCAAUUAGCUUGAUCGUAACAAAAUUUAGAAUUUUUCCACUAAGCGGUUAUUUCUGGCGAUAAAAUAAAUGAGCGAUGCGCGGUGCUGGAAAAUGACGUUUCUGGGCUUAAAUUGCGUUUUUGGAGCCCAAGAUGACCUUGGAUGGGUUCGUGGCCUUCUGGAGAAGUGUUCAGAAUAUUCCAAACAUUAAAUCCAGCCAUAUUGGGCCAGUUUUGGAGCAGCUUAUGGGUCCAAAACAUGGCUGUUCAGAUUUUAGGCGAAUUUUACCAUUUAAUUUAGGGUUAUGUUUCCUAUUUUAUUUGAUUAUUAUUUUUAGUUUCCUAGUGGGAAUAAAGGACCUGUUUUUAGGGUUUGUGUGGGGGCUUAGCAGAUAUUUGCUUGGCCAUCUACAGUUUUACGUACACUUUUCUUUUAUGCAACUUUAGAGACAAAGAGAAUUGCUAGGGUUCUUGGAGAUUUUCUACUCUAAAGUGUUUUCAAUCCUUUUCUUAGUAAUAUUUUCUAUGAUUGCAAUUAUGAAUAUGCAUAACUAAUUCCUUUUGCUAGGGCGAAUCCUUGAGCCUUAGCAUGAAUAUGUGAUUUUUAUUUAAUUGCUUAUGAUUGAUUGCAUGCAUACUUUGAAUUAUUAAUCACUGGGAUUAAAACUAUUUAAUUGUGUUAAUGCUUGAUCACCAUUAGGAUCUUUAGAAAAGUAAUUUGAUGCAAAUUUGGUCAGAAUGUUCCCUGAAAUUGACGCUGGCUUCUUGUGAUUAAUAAUUGUAAUUUCACUUAGGAUGAACACCACAUCUUAAGGAUUGCAUGGUUUUUCAAAAGGUUUUCAUAAAGCAUAAUGAGUCUUUCAUGUUCAGAUUUGAUUCGAACGUCCGGACGGGUUGCAUGUUAGAUAUAUGUUCAAUGUUGGAGGUUCCAAGUAGAAUAUAAAUUAGGAAAACCUAACCUUCAAAGUGGCAUGUGUAGAUCAUAAGUAAUUGGUAAAAGUUCAUAGGAUUGCUAGGUGAUGGUGGAACCAUAGUAUUUUCUUAAUUUGAUUUCUCCCAAAAUUGUUUUCUCUUCCUUCUAGUUUUCAAUAUUGCAGAUUGUCUUAUCUUUAAUAGUUAAAUUCGUUUUUAAUUUAAGUAGGUUAUAAAAUCAAUCAUCUCAAUUUUUACUUUACAAUAAUUAAUUGAAAUUUGGUUUGCUUUGAAUUAUUUAAUAAUCCAUGUGGAGAACGACCUUACGAGAUUUGUUUAUACUACAACAACCUUGUCAUUCUUACAAGUAUAAUAGGAGUUUUUAGCCCGUUCACAUGUGUAAUAAAAUCCCUAUCAAGAAAAUGGCGCCGUUGCCGGGGAUUGUUUUAAAUAGUUUGUGUCUAUCAACUCUUAAUUAAUUAUUAUUGUAUAUAUCUUUUUAUUUAAUUGCUGAUUUUGUUUUUGUAGGUUACAAUUUGUUUCUUUUUAGCAGUGCAACAAUGAAAUUUGCAGUUUCCCCUGAAUUCAAUCUAACACCCGAGGGACCACCUCUUUGGGUUUCAUUAGCAAAAACGGGUUAUUAUGGAUUUAAGCCUACGAUUUGUGCUCUUUGUAAUUCAAAUACUCAUGAUAUUUUGCAAUGUCCUAAGAGAGAAUAUUUUCCAGAUUAUGUCCAGGAGUAUAUAAAUAUGAGAAACGAUUCAAAACUGGAACAAUCCCCAUUCAGAGUUCUACACUCAAAGUUUGAAAGAGCAUAUUGGGCAGUAUUUUGAGUGGCUUAAUGUGCCACAAGAACUUUCGGUGGAGGACAAACUAUCUAAAUUGUUGGAAUCAACUGAAUUGUACAUAGAAAUAAUCAAUCAAGGAUUUCAAAUUUAAGCAGUAAAUUGUGGGAGAAGCUAUGAUGAUCAAGAGGUUGGUGUAGGAACCGAGGAGCCAUCUGCCUGUUAUUCACACCCAAAGGAGGAAACAGCCCCUGAUGACCUUGAAACUUACAUAGAAUCUGCUCCUACAAAAGUCUGUGUGCCACUCAUGCACUCUCCCGAGACUCCAAGGCAACCCGCUAAGCAGCAAGAAUGCAUGAAUACUCUGACAAAUCUAAUUACAGGACAGCUGCUUACUAAUCAGAAAAUUUUAGUGGCGGUAACGGACAGUGCACCUGCAUAGCCCUUCAAAUUCAAAGAAAUGCCAGAUGAGUCCUGCAAACAGGCAAAGAUCUAUAUGGAAAAGAGGAAGCUUAUUGACAGCCAAGUUCCUCGUAGAAAAUUUUAGCCAGUGCGGAAACUAUGGGUGUUAGAUACACGAUUUAAGUCAGCUCGAUGGAGAAAUAAACAUAGCUGGAAAGGAACCUAUUUCUUUCCAAAGAUUCAUUCAAAAAGAAAGGCGUAUAAGAAGAAUUCAACCAUUAAAUUUGGAAGCACAGUGCUCUAUGACAUUAUUAAAGAGUGGUUAACUUUGAAAGAACAAGUGAGGUGAUCAACAAUUCUUUCUGCUACGUCUAGCUAUAGACUUUAACUAAAGCGCUUUUUGGAAGGCAACCCAAUUUUUCUAACUCUUUUCUUUUUAUUUCGUUUAAUUUAUUUUCCUGUUUUUAUUCCUAAUUACAAAAAUCAAAAAGAAAAAAAAUAUUGCAAUUUUUAAUUCUUGUUAUUUUUCUUUACUUAUCUAAUUAGUUUUUUUAUUGCAAGUUGCAUUCGGAACUGAUUCGGCCUAAUCCCAACUAAGGGGGUGCAAUCAACAUUUAUUCCCCCAGCACAUUCAUCAUCAAUUCCUCUACAUUCAUGAGAUUAGGCAGUGUGGAGUGCAGAAACAAAGUUGAGGGAUCUAAGUAGCACAGAGGACACGAUUCAUCAAGGCAGAAUACAGUUUCUGUUAUCCACACUUUUGGGCUCAAAUAUACAUUAGUGGGUACAGGCAAGCACACAGAUAGAGAUUUAUGAGCAUGUGGAGAACAUUAUCAUGCAUGAUGCGCAAAUAAGAGUUAGGCAUCUAUGUUCUAUACCUUUCCUUUUCAGAUAAGCUCCAGACAUCUACCGUUCUUUUCUAUGUCAAAUCAGCAUUCUGCAAAUCCUGCCGCAGAAGCACACAUGCAUUAGAUAAUUUUCAUCCAUUUUUUCCCCAAAUCUAAGCAUAUAAAAAAAAUAAAAAAAAUUGAAGGGAGAUGUGGAUAAAAAUUACCCAUGAAUGUGUCGGAAUCAGAGAGGGAUGUGAUCUGCGAUGUCAUCUUUGCGGCUGUUGAUAUUACUGUUUGAGGACGCUCGAUUUUUGAGGUUCGAAGGCAGCAAGAUGAUGAAGGAGGACAUCGUAAAAGAGUGGUAGAUGCGCUUAGAUGGUCCUGGUUCAAAGAUGAAGUUUGGGCGUAUAGUGCGGCUCUGGGGUAUACGUUUGGUUUUUAAGAUAGAAAUGGUUGUGGGCUCGAGGAUGAGAAAAGAAGAAUCUAGAGAAAGAAGCUUUCUGAAGCAGCUAGAGGGAGAAAUAAGAAAUGGGAAGACGGCGCCAGGGUAAUUCUAUAUAUAGAUAAAUGAGCAUCGAGUAAGCUUAAACAAGCUGGCUAAGACGUUUUAGAAUGAGCCACAUCGUGGCCCACAUUUGCUCCGAGUCUAGCCGUGCAACAACUUCAUUUUCAAGCCCAGGUAAUAUCUUUCUUUUCUUUGGUUUUGUUAAUCAUUUUCACUUUUAUAAUUAUUAUAUUUUAGUUUAAGUUUAUUUCAUUUUUGUCAUGUUUCUUUUAUUUCCACACCUUGAGGACAAAGUGUAAAAUAAGUUUGGGGGUCGGAAAGUACAAUUUUAGGCUUUUAUUUUUUAUGUCAGUUAAGAAUUUUCAUUCUUUUUAAGUUAAUAUUCAUAGAUUAUUUUAAACGUUAGAAAAAAUGGACGUGGUGAAGAUUAAUCUUACAGUAUAGUCUUUUCUAUUUAUCGUUGCUUAGACACUAAUUCAUGAAUUAUACAUUGAACUUUGCACAUCACAUCAACAUGGUUUGUGGGAAGCGAGAUUGAAACACUUGCUUUUAGUCUAAGUUUAUUUUUUAUUUUUGUUUUGAGUAAAGUCAGUUAUUAUUGUGAAUAAAGUAAUAAUUGUCUCACCCGAGGUUUUGCCUAGUAACUGGGCCAGUCCUGCCUAAUCAGCAGUGAUUCUUACGUCAAAUGGUAGAGUUUUGGCAUGGGGCAGGGUGGUUAGUUAGUUUCAUAGCCUUUUCAGCUCAGGUUAAUAAGUCCUUAAGGGUGUUCUACACCUAGUGCCCUAAAGCCCUAGUGGUUUGGGAGUCAUUGACCUAAAGCUCGCUACAUGGGUUGGAUCGAAAGCUUAAGUGAACUGACAUUGCACGACCACUACUAUUACUGAAGAAAAAAAUUAAAAAGAAAAAGAAAAAAAGCUAUAUUCAAAGUUAGUAUGUGUGAAAUAAAGAAGGACGAGAGGUCAGAGUUUUAGUCGAGUCUCCCUAACUAUGUUGGUUCACUUUACACCAAAGGAAAUUCAUGAAUUCUUUUCUAAUUGAUUCUAAAUGGCUUAGACUCUGUGGUGGGAUUGGUUGGAACUUUUGAAAAGAUGUUCUAGUUUUUAAAAUUUGCUAUGGAUUGCAACUUGAAGGUGGAAGUUUUGUCUUGGUUGAGUUUUAGCUAGUUGUCUAGUUUGGGGGUAUUUUGAUGAGUAGAUUUUAUAUUAUAUAUUUUACCCUAAUCUUAGUAUAUAUUGGUUAAUAUUUUGGAAGAAUUUUGAUACUUUGAAUUGUAUUUUCAAUAUAGGACUUCCUCUGGAGCAAAACAGGGACAAAUGGAUGAAUUUUUUAGUAAUUCUAGUUAGAGGAUGUUCGCCAGUCAAUUAGCUUGAUCGUAUCAAAAUUUGGGAUUUUUCCACCAAGCGGUUAUUUUCUAGCGAUAAAAUAAAGGAGCGGUGCGCGGUGUUGGAAAAUGACGUUUCUAGGCUUAAAUUAUAUUUUUGGAGCCCAAGUUGACCUGGGAUGGGAUCGUAGCCUUCUGGAGAAGUGUUCAAAAUAUUCCAAACAUUAAAUCCAGCCAUAUUGGGCCAGUUUUGGAGCAGCUUAUGGAUCCAAAACGUGGCUAUUCAGAUUUUAGGUGAAUUUUACCAUUUAAUUUAGGCUUAUGUUUCCUAUUUUAUUUGAUUAUUAUUUUUAGUUUUCUAGUGGGAAUAAAGGACCUGUUUUUAAGGUUUGUGUGGGGGGCUAAGCAGAUAUAUUGCUUGGCCGUCUACAGUUUUACAUACACUUUUCCUUUAUGCAACUUUGGAGACAGAGAGAAUUUGUUAGGGUUCUUGGAGAUUUUCUACUUGAAGGUGUUUUCAAUCAUUUUCUUAGUAAUAUUUUCUAUGAUUUCAAUUAUGAAUAUGCGUAACUAAUUCCUUUUGCUAGGGCGAAGCCUUGAGCCUUAGCAUGAAUAUGUGAUUUUUAUUUAAUUGCUUAUGAUUGAUUGCAUGUAUACUUUGAAUCAUUAAUCAUCAGGAUUAAAAUUAUUUAAUUGUCUUAAUACUUGAUCACCAUUAGGAUCUUUAGAAAAGUAAUUUGAUGCAAUUUUGGUCGGAAGGUUCCCUGAAAUUGACGCUGGCUUCUUGUGAUUAAUAAUUGUAAUUUCACAUAGGAUGAACAUUACGUCUUAAGGAUUGCAUGGUUUUUCAAAAGGUUUUCAUAAUGCAUAAUGAGUCUUUCAUGUUCAGAUUUGAUCCGAACGUCCGGACGGGUUGCAAGUUAGAUAUACGUUCUAUGUUGGAGGUUCCAAAUAGAAUAUAAAUUAGGAAAACCUAACCUUCAAAGUGGCAUGUGUAGAUCAAAAGUAAUUGGUAAAAGUUCAUAGGAUUGCUAGGUGAUGGUGGAACCCUAGUGUUUUCUUAAUUUGAUUUCUCCAAAAACUGUUUUCCUUUCCUUCUAGUUUUCAAUAUUGCAGAUUCUCUUAUCUUUAAUAUUUAAAUUCGUUUUUAACUUAAGUAGGUUAUAAAAUCAAUCAUCUCAAUUUCUACUUUACAAUAAUUAAUUGGAAUUUGGUUUGCUUUGAAUUAUUUAAUAAUCCAUGUGGAGAACGACCUUGCGAGAUUCGUUUAUACUACAACAACCUUGUGAUUCCUGCAAGUAUAAUAGGAGUUUUUAGCCCGUUUACAUGUGUAAUAAAAUCCCUAUCAACAUGCCACUUUGAAGGUUAGAUUUUCCUAAUUCAUAUUCUACUUGAAACCUCCAACAUAGAACGUAUAUCUAACAUGCAACCCGUCCGGACAUUCGAAUCAAAUCUAAACAUGAAAGACUCAUUAUGUUUUAUGAAAACCCUUUGAAAAAUCAUGCAAUCCUUAAGACGUGGUGUUCAUCUUAAGUGAAAUUACAAUUAUUAAUAACAAGAAGCCAGUGUCAAUUUCAGGGAACCUUCCGACCAAAAUUGCAUCAAAUUACUUUUCCAAAGAUCCUAAUGGUGAUCAGGCAUUAAGACAUUUAGAUAGUUUUAAUCACGGUAAUUAAUAAUUCAAAGUAUACAUGCAAUCAAUCAUAAGCAAUUAAAUAAAAAUCACAUAUUCAUGCUAAGGCUCAAGGCUUUGCCCUAGUAAAAAAAAAUUAGUUAAGCAUAUUCAUAAUUAAAAUCAUAAAAAAAAAUUAUUAAGAAAAUGAUUGAAAGCACCUUCAAGUAGAAAAUCCCCAAGAACCCUAGCAAUUCUCUCUAUUUCCAAAGUUGCAUAAAAGAAAGCGUAGCCCAAAAAACAAAGAACUGCAGAGCAAUAUAUUUGCUAAGCCAUCCACAAACCCUAAAACAUAGGUCCCUUAUUCCAAUUAGGAAACUAAGAAAAAUAAUAAAAUAUCUUAGAAAAUAAAACCCUAAUUAAAUUAGGGGAAUCUAAGAAGUACUUGUCCAGUCACGUUUUAGCCUCAGAUCUCUUCCAAAUCCGGUCCAAGAUAGCUUGUUUUAAAGAUUAGGCCGUUCCGAACACAUCUCCAGAAGGCCAUGAAACCAUCCAAGGUCAUCUUGGGCUCCAAAAACCCAAUUUAAGCCCAGAAACUUCAUUUUCCAGCACCGCGCAUCGCUCAUUUAUUUUAUCGCCAGAUAAUAACCGCUUGGUGGAAAAAUGUCAAAUUUCGAUACGAUCAAGCUUAGUGACUCAAGAACGUCCUACAACUGGAAUUACUCCAAAAUUUCUUCAUUUGGUCAUGUUUUGCUCUAGAGGAAGUCGGAAGUCUUAUAUUGAAAAUACAAUUCAAAGUAUCAAAAUUCUUUCAAAAUAUUAACCAAAAUAUACUAAGAAUAGGGUAAAAUAUAUAAUAUAAAAUCUACUCAUCAAAAUACCCCCAAACUUAGCUUUUUGCUUGUCCUCAUGCAAAAUAAAACUAGAAAACAAAAAUAAAAACUAACAAACUAAAGACUUAACUAAAAUUAACUGACAAAAAUUUUCACCUUCAAAGUUGCAAUCCAUAGAACACGUUAAAAAUCAGAACGUCUUUUCAAAAGUUCCAACCAAUCCCACCACAAAGUCUAAAGCCAUUUAGAAUCAAUUAGAAAAGAAUUCACAAACUUCUUUCGGUGUAAAGUGAACCAACAUAGUUAAGGGGACUCGACUAAAACUCUUACCUCUUGUCCUUCUUUAUUUCACACAUACUAACUUUAUAUAUAACUAUUUUUCUUUUUCUUUUUCAAUUUUUUUUCAAUUUUUUUUCUCUUAUAUAACAUAUAUAUAUAUAUAUUGGUAACAGUAGUGGUCGUGCAAUGUCGGUUCACUUAAGCUUUCGAUCUAACCCAUGUAGUGAGCUUUAGGUCAAUGACUCCCAAACCACUAGGGCUUUAGGGCCCUAGGUCUAGAACACCCCUAAGGACUUAUUAACCCGAGCUGAAAUGGCUACGAAACCAACUAACCACCCUGUCCCAUGCCAAAACUCUACCGUUUGACUUGAGAAUCACUGCUGAUUAGGCAGGACUGGCCCAGUUACUAGGCAAAGUUUCGGGUGAGACAAUUAUUACUUUAUUCACAAUAAUAACUGACUUUACUUAAAACAAAAAUUAAAAAUAAACUUAGACUAAAAGCAAGUGUUUCAAUCUCACUCCCCAUAAACCAUAUUGGUGUGAAGUGCAAAGGCAAAGUAUAAUUCAUGAAUUAGUGUCUAAGCAACGAUAAAUAGAAAAAACUCUACUAUGGGAUUAAUCUUCACGAUGUCCAUUUGUUCUAACGUUUAAAAUAAUCUAUGGAUAUCAACUUAAAAAGAAUGAAAAUUCUUAACUGACACAAAAAAAAUUAAAAGCCUAAAAUUUACUUUCCCACCCCCAAACUUAAAUCACACAUUGUCCUCAAGGUGUGGAAACAAAAAGAAAAAUGAAAUGAACAAUAGAAUAAAACACAAAAACCCUAAUUGACAUGAAAAAGAAACGAUAAAACUAUAAGAAGAAAAUAAAUAAAAGAAAAUAUAAAACAAAACGAAAAUAAAGGAGAGAAAAACACCUGAGCUUUUAUGGGAAAGAUGAUGGCGUGACAAACUUUGGGCCUUGACAAACUACAUACGUGGCAACUGUUGGGUUUGAAACCCAACUUGCAAAACAAAGGUCCAAUAUGAACAUUGGAUUCCUGUGAGAUGGUUGAAUGGGAUGUAGCUGGCAUCCUAAUUUGAAAAUGGUGUUUGCAAGUUCCCAAGUCUGAAGAAGAAAAGUCGUUAUCAGUCCUCAGUCUUUGUCAGUCAUUCUACCCAGAGCCAACGACUCUUUACCUCGCCAUUUGAAAACCACCCUCCUCAGAAAGGCACAUAGCUCUUCCCAUGUUCAAAACUCUCAAACCCAGCCAUCAAUUCAAACCUCCCUUUCACAGCAGCUCAUUCGUUCUCUAUAAGCGCUGCAUCCGUAGCCUUCCAUAAUCCAGCAACAAACACACCUCCGUGAGUACCUAGCCGUGGUGGAAAAUCGGAAAAACUAAAACCCAAAGGUAAAAUCAUCCUCCAAUCUUUUGGUUUCAUUGUCAGAUUUAUUUGUUUUAGAGAAAUGGAACAAGAACUAACACAUGCACGUGGUUUUAUCGGUGUGAGGACCCCUCAUGGUUGCAAAUCCGAGCCGAUCUACUCCAUUCGCUUGUCUCUGCUGAAACCCGAAACCCUUCAGCUUCUACCAUGGAAAUAGGAAGGUAAGAUCCAUGCAUCUAUUUAACUUUACUCGAGCAGCUCAACACGGUUGUUUUUAUGUCUCAGAUACUCCAUGCUGCAUGUGUAAGUAUGUUUAUUUUGUUUGUGGGCACAGGUCCUCGAUCUAGAAGCUUAACAAUGACAAGGAAAAUGAAAACCAGCUACGACAUUGCAGAUCCUGGGCUUGCAGAGGUAAAACUGUUGUUCUCCACCAGUGAUGAAACCCCAUUUCUGAAAGUGCUUCAUCAUUACCCCCUGUAUGUGUCAUAACUCAUAAAGAUGUGUUGUUUUUAUUUUUAUUUUUACAGGGCACUUGGAUUCCUGACAUAUCCGAGAAAAAGGACAUGUUGACGGUGCGGAUCCACUGGACAAAAAGCACGGCACCUUGCAAAGGUCUUGAUCUGUCGAUAUGGAAGGUAUACACUCAUCCUUCCAAACUAAAUAAGUGACAUUUUUUUUCAUUUGUUGAAUGCAUCAAAAUUUUUGCUUCGGUACUGGAUUUGCAACAACCACCCCCAAACUUGCAUAUUUGAUUGAGCUUAUGUGAUUGCUUGAAAUUCCAGUAUAAUGUAGAUGUGGUUUAUGUGAAUGUAAACUUGCUGCUGGGUGCAUGAUUCCAGCAUAGGAUAAACUGUCUCUAUUUUCCCUUAGUUUCCAUGAGUGCACCCUACAAUUAACCAAUAUAAGCGAAUAUUAAAAACGGAGCUAAAAUCAACUGCGUAAAUAAAGAAAGCAAAAUAUUUUUGGAUUUUUCACGUUUUAAUUUUUUAAUUUUUUAAUUUUUAUAAUCUGUAUUUUUUUAUUAAAACUUAGGUAUGUAAAUCCAUCCAGAAAUUUAAGUAAUAAUAGAAAAAAAUCAAACGAAAAAUAAAAUAAGGAAAGAGUUUAGAAAAAUUGGGUUGCCUCCCAACAAGCGCUUUAUUUUAAGUCUGUAGCUAGACGUUGUAAAAGCGUGGUGGUCAAAUCACUGGUUCUUUCAAAGUCAAAGACUCCCUUGCACCAAAUUUCCCUAUGCAUGGUUUAAGUUGAUGUUUGGUAACCUUAAAUGGGAAAUCUUUGCCCUCAGCUGUGAUUUCUACAUUACCAUUUUGAAAAACUUUAGUAACUAGAAAAUGACCUUUCCUUGAGACUCUUGUCUCCCUGGAAUUAACUUAAAACUGGAAUUUAAUAGCCACACCUUUCUACUAGGUUGUAUUUUCUUAAAAUUUGGGCUGCCUGGCAAAUUGUCAUGUUUUUUCUUAAUGUUAAUCGGCUGGACAUUAUGUUGCACACUUUGCUGUUGCAAUUUAGGACUAAUGCAAUCACGAAUCAAAUUUGGAGGCUUUAUGGACAGAUGGUCAGUUGAUGAUCUGGUUAUAAAAUCAACACUAGGUAAACCAUCUAAUGCAUCAACACGCAUGCAUUCUUGCUUAUCACCUAAAUGUAUGCUUUCUUCAAACAACCUAAAAACAACUAUUUGAUCUUCGACCCGAAAUGUUAGUGUUCCGGCUUCAACAUCAAUAAGAGUCCGGGCUGUUGCUAGGAAUGGGCGGCCCAAGAUGAUGGGUGUUGUCAAAUCCUCAUCCAUGUCUAACACCAUAAAAUCAGCUGGUAAAUAUAAUUUGUCAACCUUCACAAUAACAUCUUCAAUGAUCCUUCUAGGAUAGGUAAUUGAACGGUCAGCCAAUUGAAUAAUGUUGGAGGUUGGCUUUAGCUCUCCUUCACCUAAACGUUUAAAAACAGAAUAAGACAUUAAGUUUACAUUAGCACGUAAUUCAAUUAAAGUACUACUAAAAUCACAAUUUCCAAUGGUGCAAGAGAUAGUAAAACUCCCUGGAUCUUUUUUCUUUAGGGGAAACUUAUGUAAUAAAACUGCGCUACAGUUCUUUAAGAAUCACUUUUUCAAAAUCAACGAGCUUCUUUUUCUUUGAGCAAACGUCCUUAAAAAACUUGGCAUAAUAUGGAAUGUUCUUGAUUGCAUCAGUUAAUGGAAGAUUAAUUUGAACUUUAGCCAAAGUCUUCAUAAAAUCUGUCAAUUGUUGAUCAUUAGCUUUACGCUUCAACCUUUCGAGAUAAGGCAUAGAAGGCACAUAAACACGUUCUGCAAUUUUUGUGGUAGCUUCUGCAAUAUUUUCGGAUUUAUCUAGUGGAAGCCCAAAAUCUGCAUAAAUUGCAGAUUUAGUUUGGGGCUGUUCUGCUGCCUGAGAAUUUCCAGCGCAAUUUUCAUGUCUAUUGUCAUAACUUUUGCUAGACUGUAAAGUUCGUACAGCAUUGCAUUCUUCUCGUCCUCUUGGAUUAGGUACUGUUUGACUAGGAAAUGUACUCGAUGCUCUUUCUGAAACCUGCAACGCAAUCUGCUCAAUUUGUUUUUCCUUAUUUUUCAUUGAUGCAUGCAGAUUUUGGAUUUCUUGACUGGUAGUAUUAGCUAAUUUUUCAAUUGCAAUUUCCCAAGUAGCCUUAGGUGCCUUAGGUUGCUGUAAUUGUUGUUGAAAUUGUGGCAUUGCAAGCUGAUCACUAUCCCACUUUAAAUUACAAUGAUCUCUCCUACCCGGGUUGUAGAAAUUUGAAUAUGGGUCAUAUCAGGGACGCUGAAAAUUACUGAAUGCAUUAACCAACCUGCUAAGCUGUAAACUCAGGAAAAACAUCUUUAUGUGGACAGGUCAUAAAAUCAUGAGUUGUCAUGCUUCAAAUGCUGCAGGCAGCUUGUAAGGGCUGCUGUACAACAACCUGUGAACCUGGAAUUCUUUGUAAUAACAUGUCAAAUUUUACAUCAAAUCUUUCAAGGUUUUUCUCCAUUUUUUCAAUUUGUGCCGACACAUAUGGUGAACCAUUAGACAUCUCAAAAACAGACUUAGAUUGUGGCUGCUUAACUGCCCAUUGCUGUGUAUCUGCUACCAUUUUUUCAAAUAAUAAACAAGCCUCUUGUGCAGUUUUAUCCUUGUACGAACCUCCGCAUGAAGCGUUGACAAGGGUUUUUAUUGUCAUAUUUAACCAUCUGAAAAAUAUAUGUAUCUGAUCAGUACUGUUAAUACCGGAAUGUGGACAUUUUCUAAUCAACUAUUUGAACCGCUCGCACGCCUCAUGAAACUCUUCAUUUGGUUUUUGGGCAAAAGAUAAAAUCUGAGUUCUCAUGUCAAGAGUCUUUGAAGCUGGAUAAUACUUGUUUAAAAAAAUUUCACUGAGUUGGGCCCAAGUUGUAAUGCUUCCAGAUGGGAGUGUGAGAAGCCAUCUUCGUGCUUGAUCUAUCAGAGUGUAUGGAAACAAACAAAGCUUAAUAAAUUUAGCUGAAAAUCCUCUCACCAAAAUAUUCUUGCAUCCCAUUAAAAAUUCUGCAAUAUGCAUGUUUGGAUCGUCAGUUGAUAACCCAUGAAAUGUAGGUAGAAUAUUCAACAUAUGUUGCUUUAUUUCGAAUGUUGAAUGUUCCUCCACUACUGGAUAAGUAAUGCAACUUGGCAUGUUAGUGGUAUGAGCUGUUAAAGAAUCACCCAAAGGCUGACCCGCCUCUGGAAUAACGAAUGCCAUUUUUUCUUUAUUAUGAAGAUCCCCAUAAAUUAAAGACUGCAGAAAAGUCCCUGCAGAGAAGGAACCCACUGCAAAUUUUUCUCCCUGCGUCUCCUUAAAGUUUGCUCAAGUAAGUUUGCUUGAGUUCUGGAUCAAAAGGAAACAAUUUCUGCACUGUACUGCUCUAAUCUGAGAAAAAUAAAAUAAAAACGAAAUUUUUUUUUAUAUGCAUAAACAACAAUAACCAACUGAAAAUCUAAUUAGAAGGAAUUAUUUUAAAUAAUCCUUGGCAACGGCGCCAUUUUCUUGAUAGGGAUUUUACUACACAUGUGAACGGGCUAAAAAACUCCUAUAAUACUUGCAAGAAUGACAAGGUUAUUGUAGUUUAAACGGAUCUUACAAGAUCGUUCUCCACAUGGAUUAUUAAAUAAUUCGAAACAAACCAAAUUCUAAUUAAUUAUUGUAGAGUAGAAAUUGAGAGGAUUGAUCUUAUAACCUAUUUAAAUUAAACACGAAUUUAAUUAAUAAAAGUAAAAUAAUCUGCAAUAUUAAAAUUAGAGGGAAAAGAAAACAGUUUUUGGGGAAAUCAAAUUACGAAAAUACUAGGGUUCCACCAUCAUCUAGCAAUCCUAUAAACUUCUACCAAUUAUUUAUGAUCUACAUAUGCCACUUUGAAGGUUAGAUUUUCUUAAUUCAUAUUCUACUUGGAACCUCCAACAUAGAACGUAUAUCUAACAUGCAACCCGUCCGGACGUUCAGAUCAAAUCUAAACAUGAAAGACUCAUUAUGUUUUAUGAUAACCCUUUGAAAAACCAUGCAAUCCUUAAGACAUGGUGUUCAUCUUAAGUGAAAUUACAAUUAUUAAUCACAAAAAGCCAGCAUCAAUUGCAGGGAACCUUCCGACCAAAAUUGCAUCAAAUUACUUUUCUAAAGAUCCUAAUAGUGAUCAGGCAUUAAGACAUUUAGAUAGUUUUAAUCACGUUAAUUAAUAAUUCAAAGUAUGCAUGCAAUCAAUCAUAAACAAUUAAAUAAAAAUCACAUAUUCAUGCUAAGGCUCAGGGAUUCGCACUAGCAAAAGAAAUUAGUUACGCAUAUUCAUAAUUAAAAUCAUAGAAAAUAUUAUUAAGAAAAGGAUUGAAAGCACCUUCAAGUAGAAAAUCUCUAAGAAUCCUAGCAAUUCUCUCUGUUUCCAAAAGUUGCAUAAAAGAAAGCGUAGCCCAUAAAACAAAGAACGGCAGAGCAAUAUAUUUGCUAAGCCAUCCACAAACCCUAAAACAUAGGUCUCUUAUUCCAAUUAGGAAACUAAGAAAAAUAAUAAAAUAUCUUAGAAAAUAAAACCCUAAUUAAACUAGGGGAAUCUACCAAGUACUUGUCCAGCCACGUUUUAGCCUCAGAUCUCCUUCAAAUCUGGCCCAAGAUAGCUUGUUUUAACGAUUAGGCCGUUCCAAACAUAUCUCCAGAAUGCCACGAAACCAUCCGAGGUCAGAUUGGGCUCCAAAAACGCAAUUUAAGCCCAGAAACGUCAUUUUUCAGCACUGCGCAUCGCUCAUUUAUUUUAUCGCCAGACAAUAACCGCUUGGUGGAAAAUUCCCAAAUUUUGAUAUGAUCAAGCUUAGUGACUCACGAACGUCCUACAACUAGAAUUACUCCAAAAUUCGUCCAUUGGUUCCUGUUUUGCUCUAGAUGAAGUCGAAAGUCCUAUAUUGAAAAUACAAUUCAAAGUAUCAAAAUUCUUUCAAAAUAUUAGCCAAAAUAUACUAAGAAUAUGGCAAAAUAUAUAAUAUAAAAUCUACUCAUCAGUUUCAAGUUUUCAAUAAUGAAAAGUCUUUACGAAACAACCUUAACAGCAUGCUUACAGCAUCUCUUAUGAAAGGAAGUUGAUUUUCACACGUUUUACACUUCUUCUUUUUUCGAUCAUCGAAUUAAAUAAAUCAAAUAAAACAACAAACACAAUUAAAUAAAAGUGCGUAGAGGAGAAAAAAGGGUCCCUUACGAAAGUACAAAAGCUAUGCCAUAACUAUUCUAUUUCACUUCAAUCAAUUUCCAUGUAUAGAAAAAAAAAUUAUGCAAUUGUUGAAUUAAAGGGUAGUUAGAUCCAGGUUCAAAAAUCCAAGCUAGUUUUUAAAUUGAACUUUAUAUCAUAAGAAGCUUACAAACUAUACAUCUGUUAUAUACGCAUAAUAUCCGCGCAAAAUAUAUAUAUAUAUAUAUAUGAUCGAGGUAUAUUAAAUAAAUAAAGAGAUUGUUAAGUAAAAAGAUUGAAUGCAACGUGGUUGAAGGGGAUUUAUUUCUUAUGAUUUUAGAUAUUACAAUUAUUUGAAACUUUCAAUUUUAUCACAAACUUAAUAAAAAGAUAAUAGUCAGUGGACGGAUGAGGAUCUCUCCGGAUUCUUUUUAUGAGGACUCUAGGGAUUCUCACAUCAUGGUCGUUCAUCGUACAUCGUGUGGUCAGUUUUCAUUAGGUACUAUUCGUUGCAUGCAAAUUAUGCAUCACAAAGCUCCACGUGGCAUAUGACUCAUCACAAAUAGACAAGUCAUCAAUGACAUGUGGCACAAAACAAGCAAAGGAAGCUCAAAACAAGCAAAGGAAGCUCAAAACUUCCCCAAAAUUCGGCCAAAAGGGGAAAAUACCCCUUAAAAUCAUCAAAUGGUCCAAAUUGCUCUCGAAACCGGAAAAAAAGCUAAAGCAUCUUCACAAAACAAGCAGAAUUAAAGAUUGCUCACAAAAUAAGCAAGAAAGCCCCAUAAUUCGGCCAAGCAAGGGAAAGUGGCUGAAACAAGACACAAAUCAAAACCAAAUCCACCCAAAGGCAUGACUUUGGAAGUCUAUAAAUACAAGGUCCCAGGACAAACAAAGGGUGGACGAUUUCUACAUUGAAGGGCCGAAAUUCUCACAAAAUAAGAACCUCUGCCAAAUCUUUGAAGACUAAUAUGCUGCCAAAGCUCUCUUCAAAGAACAUACAACUAAAGUCGAAGCACUCUCUUGAAAAAUUAUCAAGCACUUGUGCUGAUUCCUUCAAGACUUUGUUGCAAGCUCAAAACUUGUAACGACGUUUAAUUCAAGAUCAAGUCGUCAAGACCCUUGAAUAAAUUCAAGGAUCAUAAUCGUUCAAUUUAUCAAUUUUUACUUAAAGAUCACUCAAAAAAUAUCAUUUGAAUUGGAGAUUGUUUCAUCAUCCCAACACAUCAAAAUAAAUGCAGUUCAUCAUAAAUAUAUUACUCGGUACCUAUAGCAUCGUCGAUUUGUUUUAUACAUUUGAAUGAUUAAAUGAUUUUUUAUUGAAAUGACUUUUUAUGGGGGUGAUACACGUUAUUCGCAAGGGAAAAACUAGUUUAUCCCUCCAAGAGGAGGAGUGCAAGUAUUACCCAUAUUUUUUUAAGCCACAAAUUGGUAAAAAAGUAAGCAAACUGAAAAGAACACCUCAACAAAACUAUAUAAUUUUCGCUCAAUGUCAAAAUGGUCGAUGAGUUAUAGUCAUUUGGCCAAUUUAGGCUUUGUGUAUUUAAUUUGGCAUUUAGUCUUCGUGUUGAUCUUCGCUAACCAAUUAAGGACAUUACAUCCAAUUUAUGUUAAAAAUUCAUAAAAAUAUUAUAACCCAUUAUAGAAAGAUAUUUUUCAAUUAAGAUAAAAAAAAUUUAAUUUCAAAAUGAAAAGAAAAUAUAUUAAAACAAACCCACCCUGCCAUCUGUCCUGUCCUUAACCCAAAUCCCAACCUUAACCACCAGGCAACUCGACGAACGUGUCUCUAGAUCCACCUGUCAUUGCACGAGUUCCAUCAUCGUAGUCCUAAAAAAUUUAAUCAUAACCACCUCAUCUUCAACUAUGUACUUAAAAAGCAGACUGCAAUUGAGAGAGCCAUAUACUACCAUUUAUCUUUAUUUUAAAUUUAAGUUACAAAAAAAUGCAUAUCAAUAAGAAAUAACACAUAUAAGAGAUAAUACUUCAAAUCUAAAAAGCUAUUAAGGUUGUGACACAGAAAAGAGGGAGGCAAGAAAAUUGGGAGAGGAUAGAACGUUAGACAAGAGGUCGGGAAGUUGGGACGAGAGUAAUUUUUCUUUUGAUUUUUAUUUUAUUUUAAAUCAAAUAGAUAAUUUUAUAAACAACUUUAUAAUAGUUUAUGAAAAUUUUAAGAAUGAUUGGAUGAAAUGUCCUUAAUUGGCUAAUAAAGAUAAAUACGAAUAUUAAAUUGGCCAAAUUAAAAACAGAGUGACUAUACUGACCUAAUUGCUAAAACACAUAAACUAUUUUGACAUUUAAACCUAUUUUUUUUUUAUAUAUAUAUAAAACCAUCUGAGAAAUUUAGCCAAAAAAAUCAUUAUAUGUCCACGUUGCCAUGCGCUAUUUUAUUUUUAAAGGAAAACUAAUGAAAAGGGCUUGAAAACUUUGAGUUUUAAUGAUAAGGACAAAAUAAAGGGUAAAGUGAAUAGUACCAGGAUUGACUUUUUAGUGUAAAAAUGUGGUUUUUCGUUAAAGUGAACAGUACCGGGUGCUUUUCGUUAAAGUUCCCUAUUUUUAAUUGUGAAAUUCCUUUUGGUUUCGUUGCAAAGUAAUUUGUUUUUUUUCCAAAAGUGUUGAGUUUGAAAUGGUGCUUUCCUCGAGUCAUAAUCUUAUCUUUUGAAAUAGUAUUCUCCUCUAGUGCCAAUGUUAUCAACAGUUCACUUGUAAAACCCUUUUUUCUUAUAGGGAAUUUAAUAAAAAUAGCCUAACAAAACAAGGUCUUAAUAAAAACACUCAAUGAACAUUUUUUUGUAUAUACGAUAUUAUCUAUACUAAAAAUAUAGAAAUUAAACUAUUACCAAUAUCGUAUUGCCUCAAUUUUUUUUAUCAAACAUGUGGGAAAAAAGCUUGGGUGUUUUUGUAUUUGGUAAACAAAAGACCAACCUGUGUUUUUGAAAAGUAUUGGUCAUUGAAGCUGCUUCCGCAGCCUUAAAUGGCAGGGUUAGUCCUUUCACCGGUCCUAGGCUCCUAGCCAUCUACGACUUUACUCAACUAAAUUUUCUUAUAAAAAAAUAUAUUUCAAGAAACUAUCAAAAUAUGUGAUCACAAAAUAGGACAAACAAUAGUGCUACCCAUGUUUUUCUUAGCUGCAACUCGUUCCUGUUGAAUUUCCAAUCUUUUCCGCCGUUCAAUCUUGAAUCUUGUCCAAUGGGCCGUUCAAUCUUUGAAAUCAUAAUUUGGAAGGGAAAUACUUGCAUCCACUUGUAUAUUUUCUUAAUUAUUAUUUUUAAGAUCAUUUUUACAAAAUAAUUAAUUAAAUUCGAGAUCCUUAGUUAUUCACAUGCAUUUAAGAAAUAGACUAUCUUGAUAUUAACCAACAUUUCAUUAUAAAUCGUCCAUUUAUUAAUUAUAUAUGGAUGACAAAUUGAUAUUUGGUUUAAUUGAUUUUUUUUUUUUGAACAAAUGAUAUCAUUUACAGAUGUAGAUUUAGCCCCACAAUAAGCUAUCAAUAAUAUAAUUCAAAAUCAUUUUUGGCAAAAAUCAAAGCUAAGAUCUCUCACUUAUAAAUGAAGAAAAAUACUAAUAGAUUGUAGUAACAUUCAAUUGACUUUUUACCAUAAUAAUUUUGAAACAAUGGUUAAUAAGUCAACGAUUUUAAAUACGAUACUGGCAAAAAUGGGUAAGUCCAAGAAAAUAAAAUAAUUGCAAAAAUGGACAGGUCCAAGACUGCACGUAUACAGUUAAUGAUAUUUUAUAUCUAACUGGUUUGACCUUUCCACUCCUCCACGGUUAUAAAAUCAAGCAUCAGUUAGCAUUCAUAAUACUCAAAGAAACAAAUUGAGAGCUGGUCGAAGUCUGAAACAGCUAAAACCUCCCUGAAAAUUCCCAAAGAGCAAUAUGGCACUUUGGAUUUGGGCAACAAUUGGGGUGCUUGCACUUGUUCACGUCCUGCAGACAUGGAUAUCAAAAGGCAAGAACAAGAACAAGAAGCUACCUCCUGGUCCGAGAGGGUUUCCUAUCUUUGGCAGCCUCCACUUGUUAGGGAAGGUCCCUAACAGGAAUCUUUAUCAACUAGCCCAGAAAUACGGCGACAUCAUGUACAUGCGGUUAGGCCUCCACCAUAACAUUGUUAUCUCGUCCCCACGAGCGGCCGAGCUGUUCCUCAAAACACACGACCUUACUUUUGCAAGUAGACCACCUCAUGAAGGUGCAAAGCACGUCAUCUUUGGGCAAACGAACAUGAGCUUUGCUGAGUAUGGCCCGUAUUGGCGCGAUAUGCGAAAGAUGUGCAUGCUCGAAUUACUUAGCAACCACAAGAUCAACUCUUUCAAGGCCAUGAGGAGAGAAGAGGUUUCUCUUCUGAUUCAAUCUGUUCAAAAGGACGCCAAUAAUCGACGGGUUCCUAUCAAUCUCAGUGGCAAGAUCGCAUCGCUCGGCGUUGACCUGACCUGUCGGCUGGUGUUUGGGAAGAAGUACAAGGACGUGGAGUUUGACGAAAGGGGAUUCACAGCGGUGAUGAAAGAGGCUAUCCAAUUAGUAGCAGCACCUAAUUUGAAUGAUCACAUUCCUUUUCUUGCGCCACUUGACCUGCAAGGGCUCACUAAAAAAAUGAAGGCUAUCAACAAGGCGUUUGAUGCUUUUUUUGAGAACAUAAUCGACGACCAUCUUCAAUCCAAGGAUGAAGAAAGAACAAAGG